This 68-nucleotide transfer RNA is filed under the name Varanus marmoratus. RNAcentral describes it as "tRNA-Trp". It matches the Rfam family "tRNA". Rfam says of the family: Transfer RNA (tRNA) molecules are approximately 80 nucleotides in length. Their secondary structure includes four short double-helical elements and three loops (D, anti-codon, and T loops). Further hydrogen bonds mediate the characteristic L-shaped molecular structure. tRNAs have two regions of fundamental functional importance: the anti-codon, which is responsible for specific mRNA codon recognition, and the 3' end, to which the tRNAs corresponding amino acid is attached (by aminoacyl-tRNA synthetases). tRNAs cope with the degeneracy of the genetic code in two manners: having more than one tRNA (with a specific anti-codon) for a particular amino acid; and 'wobble' base-pairing, i.e. permitting non-standard base-pairing at the 3rd anti-codon position. The record is from RNAcentral. RNAcentral also lists the same sequence under 2 other names. Lineage: Eukaryota; Metazoa; Chordata; Lepidosauria; Squamata; Varanidae.
AGAAAUUUAGGUUAAUUAAACCAAGGACCUUCAAAGCCCUAAAAAAGAGUACAACCCCUUAAUUUCUG